Molecule: long non-coding RNA, 496 nt
Organism: Syngnathus acus (greater pipefish)
Lineage: Eukaryota; Metazoa; Chordata; Actinopteri; Syngnathiformes; Syngnathidae
Exons: 2
Source: RefSeq, a predicted model, not a curated record
GGAGGCUGUAGGGGGGAGGAUGUCUUCCUACUUCCCCCGCACCAAAGACCUGACUCGUACCAGGAGGUCAGUCACCGACUCACCGCCAUCGUCUCCAUCCCCUACAGAAAAAAGCUUCCGAGGUUACGGCUGAGCUGGAGUCCUCUCCUAGCUGACUGUGGGCAAAAGGCCAACCGCGGAGCCAAUAUAAAUAAUUUAACAAGCAUUCAGGUUCAAAUAUACAAAAUUACAUUAUUGUAUUCAAAUUAUUAUUCAAUCAUCUGAAGGAUCCAUGUACUGCUCAUUGCAUUAACUGUUGCUAUAGCAUGUCCCUUAUAUGGACAUCAUAAAUAAUAAGACAUGGAUCAUUUUUAUUAUCAUAGCAAGCGACCACAUACAUUUUUUGGGAGUUCCUACUGCUGCUAAGUGCAAACACAAGUGCCAGAAGGUCGUUGGGAUGGUUUGAAGAAGCUUUCACUCUUCUAUCUUUUAGAAAUAAAACGCAAUGCGGCUGAAA